GAGUUGAGUGGCAGAAAAGAAGAGAGAGAAUGAAUAAUGACUUAAAGUGGAAACAAGAAACCCCACCUUUCAUCCCACUAUCUUCAUUUUUUAUCUCUUUUCUCUACACUACUUAAACAGUACUAAGAUAUAGGUUGGAUUGUGUGUGAGUGUGGUAAUGGUCUCUUUCAGUUUCAGGAGUUGAUUGAUUUGUUAUAAGGAAUUGUUGAAACAAUGCUUUUUCCAGAUUUGUGUGGUUAUUAAGAUCUUCAAUCGCUUUCCUUUAAUCUCUGACUCGUAUGAAGAUAGUGACACUUCUCUCUCUCCCUCUCUCUCUCUCUCUCUCAUAUUUUUUCCUUUUAAAACUUCUUCAUUUUUCAUCUGACCUUUCAUCUCUUCUCUUUUCCUUUCCCUUCCUUUCCUUACCCCUUUUAUCAUCUCUUAAAUUUUACUUUCUUUGUUUCUAAUUUGAUUAUAUUUUACAUAUUUUCUCUCAUAUUACUUCCUAUUUUCUUACCCUUUUAAUCUAUAACCUAUCAUGUUUUUCUCACUUUUUUCAGCUUAUCAUCACUUGAAGCUUUGGAUUUAUGACAUUAUGAGAAUGGGAUAGAUGAAGAGAGCUUCCUUCAGUCCACUCAUGGAAGGGUAAGGGGUUAGAAUUACCUGCUGACUCAUUGAUUCAAACACAAUAGAUAAGGAAUGAUGUAAUGCUAUUGUGAAUGUGUGAAUGAUGCAGGAGGUAAAUUUCUUCCUUUUCUUCUCUUUGCUUGGACUGAAGGGAGCUCCCUUUUUCCGUUUUUAAUAAUAUUUUUUACUUCUCAUUCUUCCCUAUAAUUGAUUGUAACUAUCUAAAGUUGUAUAUUUUGCUAAUAUUCUUGAGCCAUAAUGCGAAGAUCUUCGAGCUGCUGGGUGGAGUUGGGCACUAUUGAGAUGAGAUCUAACCUCAUUUAACAAUAAUUACAUGUAUAUUACAAAAAUUUAGUUAGUUAACAUACUUCUAUUUCAGUGAACUCUCAAUUUCAUCUAGGUUUUUGCUCUGGAAGAAGUCUUGUAUAUGAUCAUGAACCUCAAGUACUGCCAGAUUGUAAACAAGGAUUUUUGUGGGGUAGCUAGAUCCGGAAUGACUAAACCUUAUAGAGAGAAUGACACCAAUGUUUUUGGUUUGUAAUUGUACAAAUCAAAUGAUGGAAUAAAUUACAUCACUCAUGCAUGUAUAUACAUGCUCUAAAGUUUUGUAACUUGGUAAUAUUAUUUUCUUAGAUGUUAAAGUAGACCUUAUUGUCUUGUGGAAGUGGAAUACAAUGAAUUCAAGUGCUUUAUAUAUAUAUAUGUAUGAGAACUUCUUAUAAUA
Lathyrus oleraceus (garden pea) is the source of this 1330-nucleotide long non-coding RNA. RefSeq lists it as uncharacterized. The record is from RefSeq and is a predicted model, not a curated record. Lineage: Eukaryota; Viridiplantae; Streptophyta; Magnoliopsida; Fabales; Fabaceae. The transcript is spliced from 4 exons.